Molecule: ribosomal RNA, 589 nt
Filed under: uncultured bacterium
Lineage: Bacteria
Description: partial 16S ribosomal RNA
Rfam family: Bacterial small subunit ribosomal RNA
Source: RNAcentral
UGGGGAAUUUUGGACAAUGGGCGAAAGCCUGAUCCAGCAAUGCCGCGUGUGUGAAGAAGGCCUUCGGGUUGUAAAGCACUUUUGUCCGGAAAGAAAUCCUCUGGGUUAAUACCUCGGGGGGAUGACGGUACCGGAAGAAUAAGCACCGGCUAACUACGUGCCAGCAGCCGCGGUAAUACGUAGGGUGCAAGCGUUAAUCGGAAUUACUGGGCGUAAAGCGUGCGCAGGCGGUUUUGUAAGACGGAUGUGAAAUCCCCGGGCUUAACCUGGGAACUGCAUUCGUGACUGCAAGGCUAGAGUAUGGCAGAGGGGGGUAGAAUUCCACGUGUAGCAGUGAAAUGCGUAGAGAUGUGGAGGAAUACCGAUGGCGAAGGCAGCCCCCUGGGCCAAAUACUGACGCUCAUGCACGAAAGCGUGGGGGAGCAAACAGGAUUCAGAUAACCCUGGUAGUCCACGCCCUAAACGAUGUCAACUAGUUGUUGGGGAUUCAUUUCCUUAGUAACGUAGCUAACGCGUGAAGUUGACCGCCUGGGGAGUACGGUCGCAAGAUUAAAACUCAAAGGAAUUGACGGGGUCAUAGCUGAUUUCC